Sapajus apella (tufted capuchin) is the source of this 546-nucleotide long non-coding RNA. RefSeq lists it as uncharacterized. The record is from RefSeq and is a predicted model, not a curated record. The transcript has 2 exons. NCBI's taxonomy places the organism in Eukaryota, Metazoa, Chordata, Mammalia, Primates, Cebidae.
UCCUUGCUUAUACCUUGAUCUUGGACUUCUGGCCUCCAGAAAUGAACUCACCUGGAGUGUCCAUGCAGGUCAUACUAUUGACAUACUUCUGAAAAAUAGAAUAUAGAGGAAGCAAUGGUAUGUCAUUUGGGAUUAGAUUACAAAGAGACCCUGGCUUCUACCUGGAGAUGCUCCCUAAAUCACUCUUUAAGGGAAACAUCUUCCAUGUUAUAGAGUUUCCCUGUGGAGAGAACCAUGUGGACAAGAAACUGGUGUCUUUGGCUAAUAGCCAGUAAGGACCUGAGACCUGCCAAGAAUUACAUAAAUGUGUUUUUGGAAGGGGAUAUUUAUCUAGCCCAGCCUUGUAUGAUUGGAGAUCCAGCCAACAACUUCAUGGCACCCUUGCAAAGCAUCUUGAUCCUGAGAAAUCCACUUAAACUUUGCCCAGAUUCCUGACCCACAACUUUGGGAUAAUGAAUUUCCGAUGUUUUUAGCCACUAAGCUUUGGUAAUUUUUGUGUGCACUAGAAGGUAACAAAUACAUUUGUUAUAAUGGCAUCUCUCCUUA